RNAcentral lists this long non-coding RNA (674 nucleotides) under Equus asinus (donkey). Its description in RNAcentral is "lncRNA (ENSEASG00005025443.1)". The record is from RNAcentral. Lineage: Eukaryota; Metazoa; Chordata; Mammalia; Perissodactyla; Equidae.
GGAGGAAGGGCGAGAUCCGUAAAGCCAGAGUUGGAAAGGGACGGAGGGGCGGGGCCCCGGGAAACAGAAGGGGCCGGCCUAUCGGUGGGUAGGGCUGGGGAGGGAGGCUGAGCGAGUUCGGUACACACAGGUUACACGUGUUCGACUGAGUAAUAUAGGGGAGAAAAAAAAGAAGGAAAGAGAAUCCUUACAGGUGCCUGAAGCAGUCGAGACCAAAAAGGGAUAACCCCUGUGACAUUUUACAAAAAUCAAUUAACGGAGGGAAUUGGCCAACAAAAAUGGCAUAGAAGAAAAACAAAAAGUGGUAACACAGGAAGUGUUCAAACUGAAUGUAAACAGAGUUUAAAAAAUAUAGCUGAGCAAGGAAAUGUUGACACUGGAGCCAUUCUGGAGACUCAAGAUGAGCAACCAAAGCAACUUAGUGAAGGAGUGUAUGAGAGUUCCACUGGUACUGCUAUCAUAUCAUAUAGGGACAUUAGUCUUCUUCUGCACUUGGACUGAAACUUACACCAUCAGCUCUCCUGGUUCUCAGGCCUUCAGACUUGGACACAAACUAUACCACUGGCUAUCCUGGGCCUCCAGUUUGCAGACAGCAGAUUGUGGGACAUCUCAGCUUCCAUAAUUGCAUGAGCCAAUUAGUUAUUUAUUUAUAAUAAAUUAAUAUAUAAUCAAAU